This 403-nucleotide ribosomal RNA is filed under the name uncultured bacterium. RNAcentral's name for it is "partial 16S ribosomal RNA". It matches the Rfam family "Bacterial small subunit ribosomal RNA", at positions 30 to 526 of the family's 1533-position model. The record is from RNAcentral.
AUUGAACGCUGGCGGCAGGCCUAACACAUGCAAGUCGAGCGCGCGGCGGACGGGGGAGUAAUGUAUGGGGACUGCCCGAUAGAGGGGGGUAACUACUCGAAACGGUAUCUAAUACCGCAUACUAUCGGAUAACCCAUAUGGGGUUAGCUAGUGGGUGAGGUAAUGGCUCACCUAGGCGACGAUCCCUAGCUGGUCUGAGAGGAUGAUCAGCCACACUGGGACUGAGACACGGCCCAGACUCCUACGGAGGCAGCAGUGGGGAAUAUUGCACAAUGGGCGCAAGCCUGAUGCAGCCAUGCCGCGUGUAUGAAGAAGGCCCUCGGGUUGUAAAGUACUUUCAGUCGGGAGGCGUUACCCACAGAAGAAGCACCGGCUAACUCCGUGCCAGCAGCCGCGGUAAUUC